CCCCGCAAGGGAGCGGCAGACGGGAGAGUAACACGUGGGAACGUACCCUUCAGUUCGGAACAACCAAGGGAAACUUUGGCUAAUACCGGAUACGUCCGUAAGGAGAAAGAUUUAUCGCUGAAGGAUCGGCCCGCGUCUGAUUAGCUAGUUGGUGAGGUAACGGCUCACCAAGGCGACGAUCAGUAGCUGGUCUGAGAGGAUGAUCAGCCUCAUUGGGACUGAGACACGGCCCAA
RNAcentral lists this ribosomal RNA (234 nucleotides) under uncultured bacterium. RNAcentral's name for it is "partial 16S ribosomal RNA". It matches the Rfam family "Bacterial small subunit ribosomal RNA", at positions 83 to 334 of the family's 1533-position model. The record is from RNAcentral.